GGAUGAACGCUAGCGGCAGGCCUAUACUUGCAAGUCGGACGGGAUCCAUCGGAGAGCUUGCUCGAAGAUGGUGAGAGUGGCGCACGGGUGCGUAACGCGUGAGCAACCUACCUCUAUCAGGGGGAUAGCCUCUCGAAAGAGAGAUUAACACCGCAUAANAUCAACAGNUGGCAUNGUCGGUUGAUUAAAUAUUUAUAGGAUAGAGAUGGGCUCGCGUGACAUAGCUAGUUGGUAGGGUAACGGCUUACCAAGGCGACGAUGUCUAGGGGCUCUGAGAGGAGAAUCCCCCACACUGGUACUGAGACACGGACCAGACUCCUACGGGAGGCAGCAGUAAGGAAUAUUGGUCAAUGGGCGGAAGCCUGAACCAGCCAUGCCGCGUGCAGGAUGACUGCCCUAUGGGUUGUAAACUGCUUUUGUCCAGGAAUAAACCUAAAUACGUGUAUUUAGCUGAAUGUACUGGAAGAAUAAGGAUCGGCUAACUCCGUGCCAGCAGCCGCGGUAAUACGGAGGAUCCGAGCGUUAUCCGGAUUUAUUGGGUUUAAAGGGUGCGUAGGCGGCCUAUUAAGUCAGGGGUGAAAUACGGUGGCUCAACCAUCGCAGUGCCUUUGAUACUGAUGGGCUUGAAUCCAUUUGAAGUGGGCGGAAUAAGACAAGUAGCGGUGAAAUGCAUAGAUAUGUCUUAGAACUCCGAUUGCGAAGGCAGCUCACUAAGCUGGUAUUGACGCUGAUGCACGAAAGCGUGGGGAUCGAACAGGAUUAGAUACCCUGGUAGUCCACGCCCUAAACGAUGAUAACUCGAUGUUGGCGAUAGACAGCCAGCGUCCCAGCGAAAGCGUUAAGUUAUCCACCUGGGGAGUACGCCCGCAAGGGUGAAACUCAAAGGAAUUGACGGGGGCCCGCACAAGCGGAGGAGCAUGUGGUUUAAUUCGAUGAUACGCGAGGAACCUUACCCGGGCUUGAAAGUUAGUGAAGAGUGCAGAGACGCACUCGUCCUUCGGGACACGAAACUAG
Molecule: ribosomal RNA, 1014 nt
Filed under: Sphingobacterium multivorum
Lineage: Bacteria; Pseudomonadati; Bacteroidota; Sphingobacteriia; Sphingobacteriales; Sphingobacteriaceae
Description: bacterial SSU rRNA
Rfam family: Bacterial small subunit ribosomal RNA
Source: RNAcentral